ACGGGAGGCAGCAGUGGGGAAUAUUGCACAAUGGGCGAAAGCCUGAUGCAGCAACGCCGCGUGAGCGAUGAAGGCCUUCGGGUCGUAAAGCUCUGUCCUCAAGGAAGAUAAUGACGGUACUUGAGGAGGAAGCCCCGGCUAACUACGUGCCAGCAGCCGCGGUAAUACGUAGGGGGCUAGCGUUAUCCGGAUUUACUGGGCGUAAAGGGUGCGUAGGUGGUUUCUUAAGUCAGGAGUGAAAGGCUACGGCUUAACCGUAGUAAGCUCUUGAAACUGGGAAACUUGAGUGCAGGAGAGGAAAGUGGAAUUCCUAGUGUAGCGGUGAAAUGCGUAGAUAUUAGGAGGAACACCAGUAGCGAAGGCGGCUUUCUGGACUGUAACUGACACUGAGGCACGAAAGCGUGGGGAGCAAACAGGAUUAGAUACCCUGGUA
This 433-nucleotide ribosomal RNA is filed under the name uncultured Clostridium sp. RNAcentral's name for it is "partial 16S ribosomal RNA". It matches the Rfam family "Bacterial small subunit ribosomal RNA", at positions 341 to 792 of the family's 1533-position model. The record is from RNAcentral. Lineage: Bacteria; Bacillati; Bacillota; Clostridia; Eubacteriales; Clostridiaceae. RNAcentral also lists the same sequence under 2 other names.